GGUGUAGGCGGCUUUGCAAGUCGGAUGUGAAAUCCCAGGGCCCAACCCUGGAACUGCAUUCGAAACUGCCUCGCUAGAGUCCCGGAGAGGGUGGCGGAAUUCCCGGUGUAGGGGUGAAAUCCGUAGAUAUCGGGAGGAACACCAGUGGCGAAGGCGGCCACCUGGACGGUGACUGACGCUCAGACCCGAAAGCGUGGGGAGCAAACAGGAUUAGAUACCCGAGUAGUCC
Molecule: ribosomal RNA, 229 nt
Filed under: uncultured bacterium
Lineage: Bacteria
Description: partial 16S ribosomal RNA
Rfam family: Bacterial small subunit ribosomal RNA
Source: RNAcentral